CGGGGUGUGGCUCAGCUUGGUAGAGCGCUUGGUUCGGGACUAAGAGGCCGCAGGUUCGAAUCCUGUCACUCCGA
RNAcentral lists this transfer RNA (74 nucleotides) under Vallitaleaceae bacterium. Its description in RNAcentral is "tRNA-Pro". It matches the Rfam family "tRNA". Rfam says of the family: Transfer RNA (tRNA) molecules are approximately 80 nucleotides in length. Lineage: Bacteria; Bacillati; Bacillota; Clostridia; Lachnospirales; Vallitaleaceae. The record is from RNAcentral.